Molecule: long non-coding RNA, 1721 nt
Organism: Malania oleifera
Lineage: Eukaryota; Viridiplantae; Streptophyta; Magnoliopsida; Santalales; Ximeniaceae
Exons: 2
Source: RefSeq, a predicted model, not a curated record
AUGAGCGAUGCGCUACACCUUUAUUUUCGCCAAAAUUUCAUUUCCGUAAUUGAUUUCCCCUAACACAUUACACAUGCCCAGUCCACGGUCCCCGAUCUCCAUUGCUGUCGAUCGAAGGAAAUCCCUAAUCCAUAUGAUAGGAGCGGCGAUGAAGAAAAUGGGAGAAAGUCGUCGUCACCAGAAUCGUGUGCGCGCAAUUUCCACCGUCGGCUAACUAUCUCUUCCCAAGUUUGACCCAGAGAAUCGCUGUCUCCAAGUCAGUCACUCCCCUACAUUUUCAUCCACUAAAAUACCUUCUUCAUCCAUUGACCUCAACAUCUCCACACUCUUUGCCCGGAACAUUCCCUUCACAAAGCCCCAAUUCUUCCCCAAUGUAUACUUCUCUUGUAAGUUCCUCACAAUUUGCAGAAUGAUGUCAACUGUUAUACCUGAUUGCAUUUAUACUUUUAUACUCGAUUGCAUUUAUACUUGUUUUUUCCCUUUUUAAUUUUGAUAUUAUUGUUUUCCCUUUGAAUAUUACUGCUUGUGUGUCGUCAAUAAUUUAAAUAUUUCUUUUGUUUCUUUCUCCCUAUUUAGUAAUUCACAAUUUUGAUUUUGAACAUAACUUUUGUUUCAGAGUUAUAAAGUGCAUAUUUCUCUCUUUUACAAAGGGAAAGUCUCACACUCACACAUAUAUUGAAAUUUGUUAUCAAGGCAACAUCUAACACAAAGGGGUGCAAUGCUCGCAUUCUGUGAUGGAUGUCUAGAGAGGGCAGCUUGAUAUAUGCAAUCUUACUUCCACAUGGAGGAACUGUUCUUGUGACUUGAACAUAUAAAUUUAGGCUUGAGGCUUUGAUGCAACACCCUACCAUCUUUAGUUAUGUUAAUUAAUUUCUUUUGGGGGGCAAAAAGCAUUAACUUCCUCUAAGGUUUCCAAAAUUUCAAAGACCUCACCUGAGGUUUCAAGAAUUUCAGGGAUCUCCAUUGAAGUUUGCUAAAAAGAUAAAAGUCUCCUCUUGUAUUUUGUAAAGAGACAUGUCUUUUGAACAAAGGUUUGUGUUUUUUUGGCAAAUCUUAGGAAAGGUUAAUGAAAAUUUUGAAAUCUCAAGCGAGACCCUUGUCUUUUUAACGAAACCUCAGGAGAGGUCAGUGUCUUUUGCGCUUUUUUUUUUUUCUCAUUUCAAUGGUUUCUGUGCUGACUUUCCAAUUUGCUAUGAGACUGCCUCUUAAGUGUAUGAUUGAAACAUGAUGGUGAUAAUAUUGUAGUAGUGUAUGUCUGCUAAAGAUUUUGGCCAAGAAAGAAGGUGCUUUGGAUGUGUCACUAUAGGCUGUGUCAUCAAUUAGUUCAUCUAUUAUAGCAUUAUUAUUUUGAGCUAGCCCUUUUUUAAUACAUUUAUUAUUUUUAUUUGAGACCUAAAGGUGAUAAUGAUUUAUGUUUUGUUAAGGGUUACUACAUUUCAGCACAGGAUUACUCAACAAUGAUAUUGAUAGUUUGCCACAUAAAUGCAUAGCGUGUUUUUUGGGCAUUUUGUACUCUACUUACUACUUUCUUUUGGUUUUAAAUAUUUUUGUGGUUACCUCUGCUCUGUAUGACUGUAUUUGGUCAUUUUAGCUACGUUAACCACAUAUUGUGGAGUGAAUUUCUCUUUGUAAUUGAGGAAAUUGCCAUUGACUUUGCUUUUAACAAGCGAAACUUUUAUCACAGCAGGCAAUGAUUGUCAAUUAACUUCUUGUUUUAGAAA